This 253-nucleotide ribosomal RNA is filed under the name uncultured bacterium. RNAcentral's name for it is "partial 16S ribosomal RNA". It matches the Rfam family "Bacterial small subunit ribosomal RNA", at positions 524 to 776 of the family's 1533-position model. The record is from RNAcentral.
UACAGAGGGGGCGAGCGUUGUUCGGAAUUACUGGGCGUAAGGGGCGCGUAGGCGGCCUUCUAAGUCGAACGUGAAAUCCCCGGGCUCAACCCGGGAACUGCGUCCGAUACUGGGAGGCUUGAAUCCGGGAGAGGGAUGUGGAAUUCCAGGUGUAGCGGUGAAAUGCGUAGAUAUCUGGAGGAACACCGGUGGCGAAGGCGGCAUCCUGGACCGGUAUUGACGCUGAGGCGCGAAAGCCAGGGGAGCAAACGGG